UCGUAGCAUGGUGUGGGAGUGGGAACACACGACAAGCUUCCUUGCUCUGGGCGUGGCCGUAUCCUGGAGGGGGGAAGGGAACCUUGCCUCCCCCUCCCUAUUACGUGCCCGCAGACGCGGUGGAACUUAAGGGCUAGUUUUGUCCCCAAACCCCUAAAGGGUGUGAUAGGCCGUUUUAAUUAAAAAGGGUUUUAUAAUUUAAGAAGGUAAAUGGAAUUUUUUUGUAGCGGUGGAAUGUGUAAAUAGAAAAAAGAACUUUAGACGUGAAGACUAUUUAUUUUUGAGAUUAUAGUGUGAUGGCUAAAACACGAGAGUAUGGGGAGCAAACAGGAUUAGGGACCCUGGUAGUCUAUACUGUAAAUAAUGAAAAAGAUGUGAAGCGAUGCUACAAAGUCAGAAAUUUUCCGCUUGAGUAGUACGACCGCAAGGUUAAAAUUCAAAAAACUUGGCUGUUCACUGUUUUAAUUAGAGGAGCGUGUCGUUUAAUUCGAUAGUCCGCGAGAGACCUUACCCAAACUUGAAUCCUUCAUUGACAGGUAUUGCAUGGCCGUCGUCAAUUUGUGUAUUAAACAUAAAACAGAUUUAACCCAGUGGUUUGUCACUUGGAUGAAGUCAGGUCUUAUUGUCCUAAUGUUUGGGGAUUAGAUGCGCUACAUUUUUUUAUACAUAGGAAACUUUGAGUGUGAAACCUGAAAAUAAGAGUUCCGAAGUGCCUGGAAGAUACGGAAAGUUGUAUUUAAUACUAAUUGACACUACAGCGUUCCAUGAAAUUUUUCAGGGUAGC
RNAcentral lists this ribosomal RNA (784 nucleotides) under Acropora humilis. RNAcentral's name for it is "partial small subunit ribosomal RNA". It matches the Rfam family "Bacterial small subunit ribosomal RNA", at positions 394 to 1384 of the family's 1533-position model. The record is from RNAcentral. Lineage: Eukaryota; Metazoa; Cnidaria; Anthozoa; Scleractinia; Acroporidae.